AGGGGAAGAAGGAGCAACAGGGAUUGCCCCAGUAACGGCGAGUGAAGCGGCAACAGCUCAAAUUUGAAAUCUGGCUCUCAGGGCCCGAGUUGUAAUUUGUAGAGGAUGCUUUUGGCGAGGUGCCUUCCGAGUUCCCUGGAACGGGACGCCACAGAGGGUGAGAGCCCCGUAUGGUCGGACACCGAGCCUCUGUAAAGCUCCUUCGACGAGUCGAGUAGUUUGGGAAUGCUGCUCAAAAUGGGAGGUAUAUGUCUUCUAAAGCUAAAUAUUGGCCAGAGACCGAUAGCGCACAAGUAGAGUGAUCGAAAGAUGAAAAGCACUUUGAAAAGAGGGUUAAAAAGUACGUGAAAUUGUUGAAAGGGAAGCGCCUAUGACCAGACUUGCGCCCGGUGAAUCACCCAGCGUUCUCGCUGGUGCACUUUGCCGGGCACAGGCCAGCAUCAGUUCAGCGCGGGGGAGAAAGGCUUCGGGAAUGUGGCUCCCUCGGGAGUGUUAUAGCCCGCUGCGUAAUGCCCUGCGCCGGACUGAGGUACGCGCAUUGCAAGGAUGCUGGCGUAAUGGUCAUCAGCGACCCGUCUUGAAACACGGACCAAGGAGUCGUCUUCGUAUGCGAGUGUUCGGGUGUCAAACCCCUACGCGUAAUGAAAGUGAACGCAGGUGAGAGCUUCGGCGCAUCACCGACCGAUCCUGAUGUUCUCGGAUGGAUUUGAGUAAGAGCAUACGGGGCCGGACCCGAAAGAAGGUGAACUAUGCCUGUAUAGGGUGAAGCCAGAGGAAACUCUGGUGGAGGCUCGCAGCGGUUCUGACGUGCGAAUCGAUCGUCAAAUAUGGGCAUGGGGGCGAAAGACUAAUCGAACCUUCUAGUAGCUGGUUUCCGCGAGUUU
Molecule: ribosomal RNA, 884 nt
Filed under: Beauveria bassiana
Lineage: Eukaryota; Fungi; Ascomycota; Sordariomycetes; Hypocreales; Cordycipitaceae
Description: partial large subunit ribosomal RNA
Rfam family: Eukaryotic large subunit ribosomal RNA
Source: RNAcentral